This 449-nucleotide ribosomal RNA is filed under the name uncultured bacterium. RNAcentral's name for it is "bacterial SSU rRNA". It matches the Rfam family "Bacterial small subunit ribosomal RNA", at positions 84 to 518 of the family's 1533-position model. The record is from RNAcentral.
ACCGAGACGGCGGACGGGACGGUAGCGUAACACGUGGACAAUCUGCCCCCCGGCCCGGGAUAGCCCAGGGAAACCUGGAUUAAUACCGGAUGAGACGGGACCCGCGAUGGCGGGACCCGGGAAAGGCGCUGCGGCGCCGCCGGGGGAUGAGUCUGCGUCCCAUUAGCUAGACGGCGGGGUAACGGCCCACCGUGGCGACGAUGGGUAGCCGGCCUGAGAGGGUGGACGGCCACAUUGGAACUGAGACACGGUCCAGACUCCUACGGGAGGCAGCAGCUAAGAAUCUUCCGCAAUGGGCGAAAGCCUGACGGAGCGAACCGCCGCGUGAACGAAGAAGGCCGUGAGGUUGUAAAGUUCUUUUCGGGAGGGGGAACAACCGUGGCAGGGAAUGGCCGCGGGAUGACGUGAAUCCCGGAAUAAGCCCCGGCUAACUACGUGCCAGCCGCGGC